GACUGCGCCGCCGUGCGGGAGCAGCUGCUGCAGGAGAAGAAGCUGCUGGAGGAAUGCGAGCAACAGAAGGAGAAGGUGGAGGAGUGCCAGCGCUACGCCAAGCAGUACAUCGACGCCAUCAAGGACUACGAGCUGCAGCUCAUCACCUUCACAGCACAGCUGGAGCCGCAGGCAUCGCCUGCCAAGAAGGCCAAAGUGCAGUCAGCAUCAGACAGCGUCAUCCAGGAGUACGUGGAGCUGCGCACACGGUACAGCGAGCUGACGACGCUCAGCAGUCAGUACAUCAAAUUCAUCACGGAGACUCUGCGGCGCAUGGAGCACGAGGAGAUGGAGGUGGCCCAGCAGGCGCAGCUCCGCCAGGAGACGCAGUCCCUGCAGGAGUCCUUCCUGCACGAGAAGGACGCGCUGCUGCAGAAGGAGAAAUUCAUCGAGGAGGAGAAGGCGAAGCUGGAGAAGCUCUUCCAGGACGAAGUGGACAAAGCGCAGAGCCUGAAGGCCGAGCAGGAGCGGCAGCAGCAGGAGAUGGAGCAGGAGAAGCAGCAGCUGAAGGCCAUGCUGGACGAAGCCAAGCGGCAGCAGGAGGAGGCGGAGGAGAGCGUCCGCCGCAAGCAGGAGGAGCUGCAGCAGCUGCAGGAGGAGCAGCGGAGCGCCGUGGCGCCCACGCGGGAGAUGAUGAUCCAAACUGAUGCGGCGCCGCAGCAGCCGCCGCCGCACGCGAUGCCCAACGGCCGCCACGUGGUGGACGGCCUGGAGCAGAACGGAGAGCCCGAAUUCGCCUUCCAGGGCAUCCGGCAGAAGGUGUCGGCGCAGCAGUUGGCGGCCGCCGGCGGCCUGAGCAGCCCCAGGCCGCGACACACGGGA
RNAcentral lists this long non-coding RNA (861 nucleotides) under Chrysolophus pictus (golden pheasant). RNAcentral describes it as "lncRNA (ENSCPIG00010013954.1)". Lineage: Eukaryota; Metazoa; Chordata; Aves; Galliformes; Phasianidae. The record is from RNAcentral.